CGGCAGCGCGGGGGCAACCCUGGCGGCGAGUGGCGGACGGGUGAGGAACACAUAGGAAUCUACCUCAACGUGGGGGAUAACGUAGGGAAACUUACGCUAAUACCGCAUACGACCGAGAGGGGAAAGCGGCGAACGCAGGCGUCGCGCGGUGAGAUGAGCCUAUGUCCGAUUAGCUAGUUGGCGGGGUAAGAGCCCCCCCAAGGGCGACGAUCGGUAGCUGGUCUGAGAGGAUGAUCAGCCCCCCCUGGAACUGAGACACGGUCCCGACUCCUACGGGAGGCAGCAGUGGGGAAUAUUGGACAAUGGGCGCAAGCCUGAUCCAGCAAUGCCGCGUGGGUGAGGAAGGCCUUCGGGUUGUAAAGCCCUUUUGUACGGGAAGAAAUCCUGUCGGUUAAUACCCGGCGGGGAUGACGGUACCGUAAGAAUAAGCACCGGCUAACUUCGUGCCAGCAGCCGCGGUAAUACGAAGGGUGCAAGCGUUAAUCGGAAUUACUGGGCGUAAAGCGUGCGUAGGCGGUUCGUUAAGUCUGUCGUGAAAGCCCUGGGCUCAACCUGGGAAUGGCGAUGGAU
RNAcentral lists this ribosomal RNA (570 nucleotides) under uncultured bacterium. RNAcentral describes it as "bacterial SSU rRNA". It matches the Rfam family "Bacterial small subunit ribosomal RNA", at positions 67 to 631 of the family's 1533-position model. The record is from RNAcentral.